RNAcentral lists this ribosomal RNA (253 nucleotides) under uncultured bacterium. RNAcentral describes it as "partial 16S ribosomal RNA". It matches the Rfam family "Bacterial small subunit ribosomal RNA", at positions 524 to 776 of the family's 1533-position model. The record is from RNAcentral.
UACGGAGGGUGCAAGCGUUGUUCGGAAUCACUGGGCGUAAAGCGCGUGUAGGCGGCCUCCUCAGUCUGGUGUGAAAGCCCGGGGCUCAACCCCGGAAGUGCAUUGGAUACUGGGAGGCUGGAGUACCGGAGAGGAGGGUGGAAUUCCUGGUGUAGCGGUGAAAUGCGUAGAUAUCAGGAGGAACACCGGUGGCGAAGGCGGCCCUCUGGACGGAUACUGACGCUGAGACGAGAAAGCGUGGGGAGCAAACAGG